Long non-coding RNA from Balaenoptera ricei (Rice's whale), 1366 nucleotides. RefSeq lists it as uncharacterized. NCBI's taxonomy places the organism in Eukaryota, Metazoa, Chordata, Mammalia, Artiodactyla, Balaenopteridae. The record is from RefSeq and is a predicted model, not a curated record. The transcript has 3 exons.
GGACCCAAGGGCUCGCGGCGCGUCCCUGGGACGCGUCGUCUGGGCUGCCUCCCUCCCAGGGAGAAACAGGGGGACGCCCCGGGACAGUGCCUACCGGUCCGGGUGAUGGGGAUAACGGUGCCAGGUCGCGGCCGGGGAGGGACAGAUCACCCCUCGAAGCGCUUCGCCGGGUGCCCCAGAGCCGACUUCUCCCGGCCUCGCGAACAGAAGAGACGCAGCUGGUCGCCUUAGGCAAAAGGCAGACCAGGGGAUCCAGAAAACUGGAUUCCUGGUUGCGGUGACAGAGUGAGGUACCCCGCAGAGACCUGGGAAUCCGGCCCUUCCAAACCGGUUACUACAGCCGAUGGGACCUCGUGCGCCGCAGAGAAGCACAGACCCCACAGGCCGGUGGCAAAUUACCGUCCUGCUCCCAGCUGUAUGACCCAGAUCUCCCGUAUGCGGCCCGCCUUUGCAUCAGCUUAGUUUUUUUUUCCACACUUCCUCAUUAGAAUGUAUGCUCCCAGAAAAGGAAGGAAGAGAAACAAGUUGAAUGCGGUUUCUAACUCACCUGGUUCCUAGUGCCUGGAGCCAAUACUCCACCUAUAUAGUCUUUGCUCAAGAAAUAUUUGUGGACAAGUGCCAAGUGACUGUUAACAUGAGGGAAGUGAUUCAAGACAAAGACCCAUUCUGCCAGUGGGCUAUGCUGGGAAUACCAACUAUGCUUGUUACAGAAUGUGCACGGCGACUGCUGACCGGCCUUCCCGAUGCCAGCAAGAGGGUACAGAAGCAAUCUCCCAAGCUUUCCACGACGUUCAAGUGACCAGGCACUUUGACCCCCAUCAUUAGGGGCUGCCCCAAAGAAGCUGUGUUCCUACCUCACUUGGUGCCCCUAAGCGGCAGUUCAAACACCAGAGGGUGUUUGACCCUUGUUGAAAUGGAUUUGUCAUAGGUGUGCGCUUUCAAUUGGCGUUUCCCUCCUGUCUUGUUUGAGAAAUCCAAAUCGUUUAACGCUCCUACCUGCUUCUUUUUUUUACAACUUCACAGUCACAGCAGAAUUUCAUUUUGUCCUUCAAUUGUGUGGCUUGCCUUAAUCCUCUGAUAGAGCUUCAAAUUGUUUAUUCCUUAAUUUUUUUUUUUUUAAGUGACCUGGAGUUUAGCCAGCUCCAGCCGGUCUCUGAGUUUGGCUUUGUGUCCAUAAGCCGCAGUUGGGAGAAACGCAAGAAAUGCCCAAACAGAAUAAAACAAAUGAUCUAUUUAGUCUCAUUUCCUCUCUUGGAAGAGGUCCAGCUUCGAGUGCUUUGGAAGAAGAUGAAAAUCCCCCACUACUCCCUCAUACACCCAAACAGUAUGACCUUGUAUUUAAGUAAAAGCUAUCCUUAGCUCCCAA